Molecule: ribosomal RNA, 496 nt
Filed under: uncultured bacterium
Lineage: Bacteria
Description: bacterial SSU rRNA
Rfam family: Bacterial small subunit ribosomal RNA
Source: RNAcentral
UAGUCCACGCCGUAAACGAUGAAUGCUCGCUGAUGGUGCUUCUACCGCAUUAUUGGCCAAGCUAACGCAUUAAGCAUUCCGCCUGGGGAGUACGGCCGCAAGGUUAAAACUCAAAGGAAUUGACGGGGGGCCCGCACAAGCGGUGGAGCAUGUGGUUUAAUUCGAAGCAACGCGCAGAACCUUACCCAGGCUUGACAUCCUUUGAACCUCUUCGAAAGUUGAGGGUGCUCUCUCACGAGAGAACGAAGUGACAGGUGCUGCAUGGCUGUCGUCAGCUCGUGCUGUGAAGUGUUCGGUUAAGUCCGGCAACGAGCGCAACCCCUAUCGUUAGUUACCAGCAUUUGGUUGGGGACUCUAGCGAGACUGCCGGUGAUAAACCGGGAGGAAGGUGGGGGACGACGUCAAGGUCCUCAUGGCCCUUAUGUCUGGGGGCUACACACGUGCUACAAUGGGUAUCUACAGAGGGCGCGAAAUCGCGAGAUCAAGCAAAUCCCUU